This 397-nucleotide long non-coding RNA is filed under the name Nicotiana benthamiana. RNAcentral's name for it is "long non-coding RNA (NBEN_LNC025470)". The record is from RNAcentral. Lineage: Eukaryota; Viridiplantae; Streptophyta; Magnoliopsida; Solanales; Solanaceae.
UAACGGGAACUUAGUGCAUGGAACAACCCUUUAUAGUCUUAUUGUGAUGAGUUUACAAAUACCUAAUUAUCUGCUGAUUUCUAUGCAUUUCUAUAUCAAUUAUUUUCUGCUUCCCAAAAUGAUGAAGGAACUAGCUAGCAAGUGUUCUUAAUAAUUACCACUUGGUAUGUCUAUCAUGAUCAUGGUCUCCUUCUAAGUUCUAACUGCAUAAUUACAAAAAACUAAAUAAAUACUCUACUUAAUAAAGCAACAACCCGAUAUACAAAGUAUUAUGUAUUCACGUAAGAUUCAGGAAAAGCUACACUUUAAAAGUGUGAUAUAAAUAACAUACACUAAUGCAAGUAUUAGUAAUUGCUUUUACGGUUCGAAUCCCUAACCUAUAGAUGAUAGAGACAAC